Molecule: non-coding RNA, 499 nt
Organism: Petromyzon marinus (sea lamprey)
Lineage: Eukaryota; Metazoa; Chordata; Hyperoartia; Petromyzontiformes; Petromyzontidae
Source: RefSeq, a predicted model, not a curated record
GGGAGGAGAGGAAUUGGCUGUGUGUGGAGAGAGAGAGGCGAGACGACACACAGAGGAGGAGGCAGAGGCAUAUGGUAGUGCCUACGGAGCCGGGAAACCUCUUCCCGUCACCCUCACCGCACCAGCAGACGCACACACACACAGACACACACACAGACACACACACACAACAGGCAGCCGUAGUUAGGGGGGCAGUGGUAGGGAUUUCGACGCGCUCCGGAUGGAAUAACUCUCGACUCUUCCUCCCACGGCGGCAGCAGGCGAGCGCAGGGCUCAGGUGUGUCCAAGGCGAGGAGGUGACGAGGAGGUCACGAGGAGGUGACGAGAGAUCAUUGCGGACGACCGCUAAACAUGUUCUCAGCCGCGAGCGUCGCUCCGGACGGGCGUCGUGGAGGCCGCUCCACCCCGGCCUCGCCCGUCGACGUGAAGCCCUCCGCCCGGCUCGCCUCGCCCCCCCCCGCCCUGCACGCGCCGCCCCCCCCCGGCCGCGGCCCCCCAC